Molecule: long non-coding RNA, 1910 nt
Organism: Papaver somniferum (opium poppy)
Lineage: Eukaryota; Viridiplantae; Streptophyta; Magnoliopsida; Ranunculales; Papaveraceae
Exons: 3
Source: RefSeq, a predicted model, not a curated record
UUUUCAUUUCAUUUCUAAGUGUAGCCGUCUCUCAAGAGCGAGGCAUAAAAUCAGAUCUAUCUUCUGAUCAUCUUGAAAUUUAGGCGGAUAUUUUGUUUUGCUUGUCAAUCUGCACCCGCAUUCCUUAAAAAUAUGUCAUCUUCAGUGCGUGAGACGUUGGACAUGAUAGAGCAGAAGUUGUUGUCGAAGAAACUUGAAGCGCUUCACCGGAAAGAGGAGUUCCUGGAGGGAUUUACAAUGAUUCCCAUCGAAUAUAAAGAUCCACUACCCAUUCGGGAAAUUCCUCGUAUGACGGAGGAGGAGUUGCAUAGGCUUAAUCAGGCAGAACUGGCUCACCUUUUAAAGAGAAGAUGUGCCGAUAGAUUGUUGGGUGAUGACACUGCAACUGGAUCUGUCGGAAAUUGUUCUGCUGCCGAGAACAGGGACUUGUAUUGGGCUGACCCUCAUAUUCAGUAAUAUAUGUACCCUAAGCAGGAAAACCACUGGAUUUUACAGUUACCUGAUGUUAUCCUUGAAGGCCCUGCCACUCUUGGUACCCUUGAGGCCCGUGGGAGCGGGUUCAUAUUCACAGCCCCGGAUUUCCAGUUGCACUUCAAGGAUACUAGUGUAAAAGAGUGUUUCUUCUCACAUGGAGAUGACAGGAGGCAGCGGCCACAUGAAUUGUUAUUCCACUUGGAUCACCCCAUGAUGGUGGGGACAACAGAGAUGAGGAAUAUGCACUUCUCUAUGUGGUCCCACUAAGCGAUGUUGAGUUUGUUAAUCUGGCCGAGGUUGAAUCUGGGGCGUUCGAUAUGACAGUGGUGUUCCAGGACUAUUCACGCGACGUGCUUCAAAUCUGCACAAUCGACAUAACAAAGCUCGCUGGCAUAAAACGUAUUCUUAACGAUGCAUACGUGAAGUACUAUUGUAACACUAAGAAACUAGCCGUGAAGGAGUGGAAUUCCAUAUUAAGAGAAAUCGUAGCGAGCCCCAAGAAGUUCAUUGAAUGUGGUGGAUGGGAAUCCUUGCAUCUCGAGGAUGAGCUUACUUUGUCCUGCUAUGGUAUUGCAAAAGAUCCCGAUUUUAGUAAUGGAGUGUUUCAAUGAUAACAAAGUGAAUCAGAGGGGCAAUGGAUCAGAGUGCGAAGAAGUGAAGGCGCGAGUAAAGCUGGAAAAAGCCUACCAAUUUAUCUGUGUUGCAUCUGGUAGUUUCUUUAGUUCUCUUUAUUGUUUGCUUAUUUAUAUAGAUGCGUGGUCUUAAGACUUUAAAGAUUUCCUGCCUGAAUGUUUUAAUUUAAUUCUGUUCUAAAUUAUCAUAUGUAAUUAUAUUAUUACUAUUAUUAUUAGGGCUUGGAUAAUAUUUAACAUAAGAUGUUUCCAGUCUGUUGUCUGGCAAUUACCCAACAUUACACUUAUUAUUAUUGGGAAGAUGAUGGUAGUGGUGUUGCAAUGUUGGUGGGAUUGCGGUUAAUUGAUCAGUGGUGGUGGUCAUGGCGGCGGCAAAAUUGUGGGCAAUGCUCUAAAAACUUGGUGAUCUAGUUCACUUGCAUGGAGGAAGCGUGGAGCACAUAGCCUCCUUAAAGCUCUCCCGACUAACUGAGCUACGGAGCGAGUGAAGCUACCAUUGCGAAGCAACGAGGGCUUUCUCAUGACUGAUUUGACUCAUCCCGCAGACUUGAAGAUUUUAUCAGCCAUUAUAUCUUUCUGGAUCAAAUUUCUUAAGAGUCUCUCUCAGCCACAAAAACCGACACUUCAAGUUCCCUUUCCUCUUUAUCUUUCUGGAUAAGGGCUUUGUUGCAUUUACUUAUGGGAUUAUGGAUUCUUGCAGGUCAUGCAUUGUUGGAUUCAAUUUGUAUUUAUCCUUAUCCUUCUACGUGUACACUGCGGCAGCUGGUUUCUUAUGGUUUCGACUUUUCAAAGGUCAAGCAUCUG